Long non-coding RNA from Carcharodon carcharias (great white shark), 762 nucleotides. RefSeq lists it as uncharacterized. The record is from RefSeq and is a predicted model, not a curated record. The transcript is spliced from 2 exons. NCBI's taxonomy places the organism in Eukaryota, Metazoa, Chordata, Chondrichthyes, Lamniformes, Lamnidae.
GUCAGCAUGGAGAUGACCCGUUCCAAACCGGCCCACCCCGCAGCCAGAACGCGCUGCAGGUGGGCUAAACAAGGGCCGACUGGGGCUUCUGCCCCUUAAUGGGAGGAAGCCCCGCCUUCGGAAGCUGCUGGCCAAUCUGGUUCCAAGUGUGCGUUAGUGGGCGCCACCAGGACUCCAAGAGGUGGAGGAAGCAGUCUCAUGGAUCCCCGGAAACAGGAAGGGAUUUCACUCCCAAUGUUCAAACUCAUGAUCACAGGUGCCAUUUCCUGUAGAUGCACACCUGGUACUCUGUAUGAGCUCAAACACAUUCUAAACAACUCCCAGGUACCACAACUGUUCCCACCCCCGUCUGAUCUUCUGGAGGUACCCCAACAACCAGCUCCUGAAGACCUGGGUAAUGACUCCAGUCCUGAAACCCCAAACUAAUAUCGAACGGCAGCACAAUGCUACCCAUCCAUCAACAAGAGCCAUCACUGGAGCAGACAAUCUGAAGAGGUUCCAUUGCCUGUACCACUCGGUUAGCACAGUCCAAUACUCACCUGACCAUUUCACCAGGAUCAAGAUGGUCUGCUGUAUUCUUCACAAUUUAGCUAACAGCAGAUUGACUUGAGGCUGAAUGUGUUUCUACUAACAUGUGGUGACCCACCAAGGAAUGAGUCCCCAAUGGCUGAAAGGUCUUCCAGCCUUCCAAGAAUUGUUCAAAUAGAUGUGACAACGUGUUUAUAUAAUUUGGCUUCAAUAAAAGCAAUGUUUUUACCCUUA